GACGUCGAAACGUUGGAAUAAAAUCGUAUCAUUGCCAGAAUAGUUUUAUUAAAAAGUUGACGUGCAGACAUCGUUGCUCAGUGGUCACAUGGAGCUUCAAAAACAGUAAAAUGUAAAAACACGUGCGUCAUUGACGUUCAAAACAACGUAAACGUGGCGAUACAUUAGUUUCACGAGGCACUGGAGGCACUGGAGGCACUGGUGUACUGCGGUAUUUAAAGGGGUCCGAAUAAUCCUAGGACUGAAUUUUUAUUUUCUAGUUCUCUAGUUAUGGUAUUUAUUAACAUGGAGUUUGCAUGAUCAGUGGAAUGACCUCUUCGGAAGCCGAAUUGACAAUCAUGGAGUAUUUUAGAUCGAACUAGUUGGUGUUGUUGGAAAGAUGAACAGAGAGGUUGGCGAGCGGGAAUGAAGGAAUUCUGUAUGGUGACUGUCUGAUUGUGGAAUACUUU
Molecule: non-coding RNA, 449 nt
Organism: Ciona intestinalis (vase tunicate)
Lineage: Eukaryota; Metazoa; Chordata; Ascidiacea; Phlebobranchia; Cionidae
Source: RefSeq, a predicted model, not a curated record